AUUGAACGCUGGCGGCAGGCCUAACACAUGCAAGUCGAGCGGAUGAAGGGAGCUUGCUCCUGGAUUCAGCGGCGGACGGGUGAGUAAUGCCUAGGAAUCUGCCUGGUAGUGGGGGAUAACGUCCGGAAACGGGCGCUAAUACCGCAUACGUCCUGAGGGAGAAAGUGGGGGAUCUUCGGACCUCACGCUAUCAGAUGAGCCUAGGUCGGAUUAGCUAGUUGGUGGGGUAAAGGCCUACCAAGGCGACGAUCCGUAACUGGUCUGAGAGGAUGAUCAGUCACACUGGAACUGAGACACGGUCCAGACUCCUACGGGAGGCAGCAGUGGGGAAUGGACAAUGGGCGAAAGCCUGAUCCAGCCAUGCCGCGUGUGUGAAGAAGGUCUUCGGAUUGUAAAGCACUUUAAGUUGGGAGGAAGGGCAGUAAGUUAAUACCUUGCUGUUUUGACGUUACCAACAGAAUAAGCACCGGCUAACUUCGUG
Molecule: ribosomal RNA, 481 nt
Filed under: uncultured bacterium
Lineage: Bacteria
Description: partial 16S ribosomal RNA
Rfam family: Bacterial small subunit ribosomal RNA
Source: RNAcentral